UACGUAGGGUGCAAGCGUUGUCCGGAAUUAUUGGGCGUAAAGAGCUUGUAGGCGGCUUGUCGCGUCGUCCGUGAAAACUUGGGGCUCAACCCCAAGCUUGCGGUCGAUACGGGCAGGCUCGAGUUCGGUAGGGGAGACUGGAAUUCCUGGUGUAGCGGUGAAAUGCGUAGAGAUGCGGAGGAACACCGAUGGCGAAGGCAGCCCCCUGGGCUGACACUGACGCUCAGGCACGAAAGCGUGGGGAGCAAACAGG
Molecule: ribosomal RNA, 253 nt
Filed under: uncultured bacterium
Lineage: Bacteria
Description: partial 16S ribosomal RNA
Rfam family: Bacterial small subunit ribosomal RNA
Source: RNAcentral